This 253-nucleotide ribosomal RNA is filed under the name uncultured bacterium. Its description in RNAcentral is "partial 16S ribosomal RNA". It matches the Rfam family "Bacterial small subunit ribosomal RNA", at positions 524 to 776 of the family's 1533-position model. The record is from RNAcentral.
UACAGAGGUCCCGAGCGUUGUUCGGAUUCACUGGGCGUAAAGGGUGCGUAGGUGGCCUGAAAAGUUUGAUGUGAAAGCUCAGGGCUUAACCCUGAAAUGGCAUUGAAUACUGUCGGGCUGGAGGUUUGGAGGGGGGACUGGAAUUCUUGGUGUAGCAGUGAAAUGCGUAGAUAUCAAGAGGAACACCGGUGGCGAAGGCGGGUCUCUGGGCCGAUACUGACGCUGAGGAGCGAAAGCGUGGGGAGCGAACAGG